This 497-nucleotide ribosomal RNA is filed under the name uncultured bacterium. Its description in RNAcentral is "partial 16S ribosomal RNA". It matches the Rfam family "Bacterial small subunit ribosomal RNA", at positions 28 to 507 of the family's 1533-position model. The record is from RNAcentral.
GACGAACGCUGGCGGCGUGCCUAAUACAUGCAAGUUGAGCGAUGAAGCUUGGUGCUUGCCCCAAUUUGAAGAGCAGCGAACGGGUGAGUAACGCGUGGGGAAUCUGCCUUUGAGCGGGGGACAACAUUUGGAAACGAAUGCUAAUACCGCAUAACAACUUUAAACAUAAGUUUUAAGUUUGAAAGAUGCAAUUGCAUCACUCAAAGAUGAUCCCGCGUUGUAUUAGCUAGUUGGUGAGGUAAAGGCUCACCAAGGCGAUGAUACAUAGCCGACCUGAGAGGGUGAUCGGCCACAUUGGGACUGAGACACGGCCCAAACUCCUACGGGAGGCAGCAGUAGGGAAUCUUCGGCAAUGGACGAAAGUCUGACCGAGCAACGCCGCGUGAGUGAAGAGGGUUUUCGGAUCGUAAAACUCUGUUGGUAGAGAAGAACGUUGGUGAGAGUGGAAAGCUCAUCAAGUGACGGUAACUACCCAGAAAGGGACGGCUAACUACGUG